Oreochromis niloticus (Nile tilapia) is the source of this 309-nucleotide long non-coding RNA. RefSeq lists it as uncharacterized. Lineage: Eukaryota; Metazoa; Chordata; Actinopteri; Cichliformes; Cichlidae. The record is from RefSeq and is a predicted model, not a curated record. The transcript has 4 exons.
CCCCAACGACCUUUUACUGAAAUCCACAAAGCAGUGGAGAGUGAGAUGAAACAGUGGUCUCCUGAACAAGGAAUCAGGGCAAUGGUAAAGCGGUAAGGGAUGUCAGAGGAGUGCGGCCUUGUUACAGAGACGAUGUUGCUAAUAUAAUGAGGGAUAUGGAUGCAAGUGGUCUUCAGAGGAGAUCUCCUGGAAAGAAGAAAAUUCCCCGUCGGAAUUACAUCAGCCGUGGUCCAAAUGACACCUGGCACAUUGAUGGCAAUGAUAACUGAAGUUCUUUGGAAUGUGGAUACAUUUGGGAUUGAUGGGUAG